AGGGUUGUGGCUCAGUGGUAGAGCACUUGCCUAGCCAUGUGUGAGGCUCUGGGUUCAAUUCUCAGCAGCACAU
This 73-nucleotide transfer RNA is filed under the name Ictidomys tridecemlineatus (thirteen-lined ground squirrel). Its description in RNAcentral is "Spermophilus tridecemlineatus (thirteen-lined ground squirrel) tRNA". It matches the Rfam family "tRNA". From Rfam's summary of the family: Transfer RNA (tRNA) molecules are approximately 80 nucleotides in length. The record is from Rfam by way of RNAcentral. Lineage: Eukaryota; Metazoa; Chordata; Mammalia; Rodentia; Sciuridae.